AACGAACGCUGGCGGCAGGCUUAACACAUGCAAGUCGAACGCGUGCAGCAAUGCACGAGUGGCGCACGGGUGAGUAACGAGUGGAUAUCUGCCUUUUGGUUCGGAGUAACCCCGGGAAACUGGGGCUAAUACCGGAUGGUUCCUACGGGAUAAAGAUUUAUCGCCAAAAGAUGAGUCCGCGUCCGAUUAGCUAGUUGGUGAGGUAAUGGCUCACCAAGGCGACAAUCGGUAGCUGGUCUGAGAGGACGAUCAGCCACACUGGGACUGAGACACGGCCCAGACUCCUACGGGAGGCAGCAGUGGGGAAUAUUGGACAAUGGGGGCAACCCUGAUCCAGCCAUGCCGCGUGAGUGAUGAAGGCCUUCGGGUUGUAAAGCUCUUUUGGCGGGGACGAUGAUGACGGUACCCGCAGAAUAAGCCCCGGCUAACUUCGUG
This 435-nucleotide ribosomal RNA is filed under the name uncultured bacterium. RNAcentral describes it as "partial 16S ribosomal RNA". It matches the Rfam family "Bacterial small subunit ribosomal RNA", at positions 29 to 507 of the family's 1533-position model. The record is from RNAcentral.